RNAcentral lists this ribosomal RNA (238 nucleotides) under uncultured bacterium. Its description in RNAcentral is "partial 16S ribosomal RNA". It matches the Rfam family "Bacterial small subunit ribosomal RNA", at positions 532 to 770 of the family's 1533-position model. The record is from RNAcentral.
GUGCAAGCGUUAAUCGGAAUUACUGGGCGUAAAGCGCGUCUAGGCGGUUUGGUAAGUCUGAUGUGAAAAUGCGGGGCUCAACCCCGUAUUGCGUUGGAAACUGCUAAACUAGAGUACUGGAGAGGUGGGCGGAACUACAAGUGUAGAGGUGAAAUUCGUAGAUAUUUGUAGGAAUGCCGAUGGAGAAGUCAGCCCACUGGACAGAUACUGACGCUGAAGCGCGAAAGCGUGGGUAGCA